Molecule: unclassified non-coding RNA, 1351 nt
Filed under: uncultured Neocallimastigales
Lineage: Eukaryota; Fungi; Neocallimastigomycota; Neocallimastigomycetes; Neocallimastigales
Description: partial contains small subunit ribosomal RNA, internal transcribed spacer 1, 5.8S ribosomal RNA, internal transcribed spacer 2, and large subunit ribosomal RNA
Rfam family: Eukaryotic large subunit ribosomal RNA (bases 609-1351)
Source: RNAcentral
AGUAAAUCGUACAAGGUUUCGUAGGUGAACUGCGAAGGAUCAUUAAUAAAUGGUCUACGUUUUUUAAGUAGACGCUUAUAAUCCUACCUUUGUGAAUUGUUGUUUUGAAAUAAUUUUUUUUAAAAUAUUGAUUGUCUUUCCCUGUUGAAUUGGUUUCUAAUGGCAAAUGAUUCGCAGGGGAGUGUCAGUAAUUUUAAAAGACUUUUUAAAAUUAAACUUUUGUAUUCAUUUGUCUAAAAUUAUUUUAUAAUAUAAAAACACUUUGACAAUGGAUCUCUGGUUCUCGCAACGAUGAAGAACGCAGCAAAAUGCGAUAAGUAGUGUGAAUUGCAGAUACGUGAAUCAUCGAAUCUUCGAACGCAUAUUGCACUUUUUUAGUUUACUAAAAAGUAGUCUGUUUGAGUAUCAGUAAAUAUUCUCAUAAAAACAUUGUUUUUAUGGUUAUGAGUGUUUUACAACGAUACAAGUUGUUUCACUUUAAAUUUUUUAAAUUCGAUUUUCUAGUUUAAAUAAAAUUGGAUAAAAUUCCCGUAAAAAGGAAUAACCUAAACAAUUUUAAAUUUUGAUUAGAAUUCUUCACAUUCUAAAGGAAAUUUAACUAAAUAACUUGAUCUCAAACCAGAUAAGGUACCCGCUGACUUAAGAUAUCAAUAAGCGAGAAAAGAACUAACAAGGAUUCCCUAGUAACGGCGAGUGAAGCGGAAGAGCUCAAUUUGAAAUCUUAAAGGUUCCCUUUACGAAUUGUAGUUUAAAGAAGUGUUUUCUGUUGAAAUUUUGGUAAAAGUUCUUUGGAAUAGGACAUCAUAGAGGUGAGAUCCGUAUUGACAUUAUCUUCAGCUAUGUGAUACACUUCAAAGAGUCGGAUUGUUUGGAAUGCAGUCAAAUGGUGUAAAUUUCAUCUAAAGCUAAUAUUGGCGAGAGACCGAUAGCGAACAAGUACGUGAGGGAAGAUGAAAGAACUUUGAAAAGAGAGUUAAACAGUACGUGAAAUUGUCAAAAGGGAAGCGUUUGACACCAGUGUUGUUCUCUGAAAAUCAAUUACAGGAAAGUUUAUUAAGUGUUAAGACUUUAUCAGCUUACUGCUUAAUUUUGAGCUUUUCUUUAAUGCACUUUCAGUUUACAAUCAACAUCAAUUUCUUUUGUUGUAAAAAGUAAGGGAAAGGUGGCUCAAGCUCGGCUUAAGUGUUUAUAGUCCUUUGCUUCUGCAAUCGAGAGAUUGAGGUCUGCAGCGUAGAUCCUUUUUUGGAUUAGAUACAUUUGUGCUAAGUUACAGCUCUUUAUAGACAACUGUUGACUAUGAUCAGUCUUGUAGCUUACUCGCUUAUGCUAUUUUACUACGCUUAGGAUGUUG